This 492-nucleotide ribosomal RNA is filed under the name uncultured bacterium. RNAcentral's name for it is "partial 16S ribosomal RNA". It matches the Rfam family "Bacterial small subunit ribosomal RNA", at positions 29 to 507 of the family's 1533-position model. The record is from RNAcentral.
AGUGAACGCUGGCGGUAGGCCUAACACAUGCAAGUCGAACGGCAGCACAGUAAGAGCUUGCUCUUACGGGUGGCGAGUGGCGGACGGGUGAGGAAUACAUCGGAAUCUACUUUUUCGUGGGGGAUAACGUAGGGAAAAUUACGCUAAUACCGCAUAGGACCUACGGGUGAAAGCAGGGGAUCUUCGGACCUUGCGCGAUUGAAUGAGCCGAUGUCGGAUUAGCUAGUUGGCGGGGUAAAGGCCCACCAAGGCGACGAUCCGUAGCUGGUCUGAGAGGAUGAUCAGCCACACUGGAACUGAGACACGGUCCAGACUCCUACGGGAGGCAGCAGUGGGGAAUAUUGGACAAUGGGCGCAAGCCUGAUCCAGCCAUACCGCGUGGGUGAAGAAGGCCUUCGGGUUGUAAAGCCCUUUUGUUGGGAAAGAAAAGCAGCAGGUUAAUACCCCGCUGUUCUGACGGUACCCAAAGAAUAAGCACCGGCUAACUUCGUG